This 443-nucleotide ribosomal RNA is filed under the name uncultured bacterium. Its description in RNAcentral is "partial 16S ribosomal RNA". It matches the Rfam family "Bacterial small subunit ribosomal RNA", at positions 338 to 795 of the family's 1533-position model. The record is from RNAcentral.
CCUACGGGAGGCAGCAGUGGGGAAUAUUGGGCAAUGGGCGCAAGCCUGACCCAGCAACGCCGCGUGAAGGAAGACUGCUUUAGGGUUGUAAACUUCUUUUAUGAGGGACGAAACAAAUGACGGUACCUCAUGAAUAAGCCACGGCUAACUACGGGCCAGCAGCCGCGGGAAUACGUAGGUGGCAAGCGUUAUACGGAUUUACUGGGUGUAAAGGGCGUGUAGGCGGGACUGCAAGUCAGAUGUGAAAAUUAUGGGCUCAACCCAUAACCUGCAUUUGAAACUGGAGUUCUUGAGUGAUGGAGAGGCAGGCGGAAUUCGGGGUGUAGCGGUGAAAUGCGUAGAUAUACGGAGGAACACCAGUGGCGAAGACGGCCUGCUGGACAUUAACUGACGCUGAGGCGCGAAAGCGUGGGGAGCAAACAGGAUUAGAUACCCGAGUAGUC